AACGAACGUUGGCGGCGUGGAUUAGGCAUGCAAGUCGCGGGAAUCCCAGCAAAUGGGGGAACCGGGCGUAAGGGGCGAGUAAGGCAUGGGUACCUACCCUGGGGUUCGGGAUAGCCUUCAGAAAUGGAGGGUAAUACCGGAUGACGUCGUGAGACCAAAGGUCCGCCGCCCUGGGAGGGGCCCAUGUGAUAUUAGCUAGUUGGUGAGGUAAUGGCUCACCAAGGCGAAGAUGUCUAGCGGGUGUGAGAGCACGACCCGCGCCACUCGCACUGAGACACUGGCGAGACACCUACGGGUGGCUGCAGUCGAGGAUCUUCGGCAAUGGGCGCAAGCCUGACCGAGCGACGCCGCGUGUGCGAUGAAGGCCUUCGGUUGU
RNAcentral lists this ribosomal RNA (376 nucleotides) under uncultured bacterium. RNAcentral's name for it is "bacterial SSU rRNA". It matches the Rfam family "Bacterial small subunit ribosomal RNA", at positions 28 to 426 of the family's 1533-position model. The record is from RNAcentral.